Molecule: small nuclear RNA, 143 nt
Organism: Saimiri boliviensis boliviensis (Bolivian squirrel monkey)
Lineage: Eukaryota; Metazoa; Chordata; Mammalia; Primates; Cebidae
Gene: U4
Rfam family: U4 spliceosomal RNA
About the family: U4 small nuclear RNA (U4 snRNA) is a component of the major U2-dependent spliceosome. The structure of U4 snRNA from yeast and human has been reported.
Source: Ensembl
AGCUUUGGGCAGUGGCAGCAUUGUAGCCAGUGAGGUUUAUCCAAGCCGCAAUUACUGCUCAUUGUAAACUUUUCCCAACACCCGCCAUGACGACUUGAAAUAUAGUCGUCGGCACUGGCAAUUUUCGACAGUCUCGACGGAGA